Long non-coding RNA from Cyprinus carpio carpio, 1191 nucleotides. The record is from Ensembl. Lineage: Eukaryota; Metazoa; Chordata; Actinopteri; Cypriniformes; Cyprinidae.
CAUUAUAACUGAAGUUGAACUGUUUAUUUAAAUUAAACUUUUUAAAGCAUUAAACCAAAUAUAGGGAAACAUAAGAACAAUGUUAAAGGGGUAAUGCAUGGAGAAUCAAAAUGUUCUUGAUAUUUGCAUUUAUUUUUAAUCUUACAGCAUGUUUGUAAUAUACCAGUGAUUAACUAUAUUAAACCUACUUAAGCUGCAGCGUCUUUUGUAACAGACAGGUAAUACUAGCACUUUUAAAACUAUGUUCUGAAAAUUAAGCAAGCAAAAGCAAUCUCCACACUAAAACACACUGUGCAAUUGUUGUGUUUUUGUCAUUUUUAUUAUUAUUAUUAUUAUUAUUAUUAUUAUUAUUAUUAUUAUUAUUAUUAUUAUUAUUAUUAUUAUUAUUAUUAUUUUUGUUAAAUAUAUAUGUAGUUUUUCAUUUUUAUUUCCAUUUUAGUUUGUUAUUUUAGCACAUCAAUUUGAAAAUAAAAAGGAAAAGAGAAAUGCUGCAUUUGCUAAUAAUAAAUAAAAAAGUAGUUUUAUAUAUAUAUAUAUAUAUAUAUAUAUAUAUAUAUAUAUAUAUAUAUAUAUAUAUAUAGGGUUAAUUAUAGCUGACGUCAACUAAAACUCAAAUUAAAUGUAAAAGUAUUAUAUAUAUAUAUAUAUAUAUAUAUAUAUAUAUAUAUAUAUAUAUAUAUAUAUAUAUUUUUUUUUUUUUUUUAUUAUUAUUUAUUUAUUUAUUUAUUUAUUUAUUUAUUUAUUUAUUUAUUUUGAAUUUUUUUUUAUUUUUAUACUUUUACAUUUAAUUUGAGUUUUAGUUGUUGUCAACUAUAAUUAGCCCUGACGGUCAUGCUGUGUGUUGUUGGUAGACGUCGGUGGCGAUGAACGGGAGUAAUAAGUGUUUUCCCAGCAGCACCUGUUCACUUCCGGUUGGUGUUUGAGUCGUCUGUGUCUUGAGGGAGUAAAUCUUUCAGACACUCCUAAACAAACACGUGGUGUAGAUUAACAUGCCAGGACACACCGAGAUCCACCUCCAAUCGUCUUUCCAUUAAAACGGACAAACGGCAGCCUACGGCAAAGAGAGGGAGAGGAAUAAAUCAGGAUAGUCUAAGGAAUAGUAAUCCUGCCUGAACAGUUUGAGCUGAUUGAUAUAAAUAACAGUGUCCUCACCAUCUGUCCGGAGAGAGACCUUCUCCGCUCGCUGCUGAG